GGUGGCCUAGUGGUUAGAGCGUUCGCCUCGGAUGUGGGAGGUCGUGUGUUUGAUCACCGGUCGAAUCAUACCAAAGACU
Molecule: non-coding RNA, 79 nt
Organism: Potamilus streckersoni
Lineage: Eukaryota; Metazoa; Mollusca; Bivalvia; Unionida; Unionidae
Source: the annotation of a GenBank genome assembly